Molecule: long non-coding RNA, 1116 nt
Organism: Calidris pugnax (ruff)
Lineage: Eukaryota; Metazoa; Chordata; Aves; Charadriiformes; Scolopacidae
Exons: 5
Source: RefSeq, a predicted model, not a curated record
AAGGAGCAGAGUUGUGAAGUUAUCUGCUCAAAGGAGGCCAGUGACAAAUCCAGGAAUAGAAGCCAAGUCUCCUAAGUUGCAGCUUAAUGCCAUCUAAUACUGUAAUCAACAAGAAAGUUUGCCUUCUGAUGUUACAAUGAGGAUGAACCCCCAAGGCACGGCUGCAAUAGUUGUUUGAAACAAGAAACAGCCUCUUGGUGUCAUUCAUUUCACUGAUCCCUGGGAAUCUGAGCCUGAAUGAAGAUUGGUUAUUCAUACUUCCUGGCAGUGGUUAUAAGAGGAGGAUGACUGAGAAUUUGGUAGCCCCUCUCACCAGCCCGACAUUUGGGUCACCUCCACACAUGCCUCCUGCCUGCAGACACCUGGUGGGAUUGACGUCAUUUGAGGCCGAGGAGAGUGGUUAGGUGGCUCUGCUGACUCAAUGGGGUGAAGCCCUGAGGUCCCCAGCAAAACCCCAUCUCCAGCCCCGUACCCUGAAAAGGAGCAUGCUCUUAAUAUCUGUAAGGAGUUGCUCAAACAUCAGAACUGCUGAAGCCCAGUGGAUUUGUAUAACGGCCCUCUAAAUUAUACAUUGACAUUCUCACUGCUGGCAGAAGAGGAGUGUAUCUCACGAUGUUCCUGUCUCCGUGUGGGACACGUGGCGUGAUGUUGAAGAAUGUGCCCAUAGCAGUGCAAUGUGGAUUUCACCUGCAGCCAGGUAUGAGGAGUGAAAGUUGCAGCUGCUGCCAAAGGAUGGGUUCAUAAAGAAGUUGGAUACUUGGCAUCAAGAAUGAGGAGCUGUGAGCGUUUUGAAGGAUCAGGGCUUGGAGAUUUCUUUUGGCUUCAGCUUCGUGCAAAGCUGGAGCAUCUCCCACUGACAAAGAAAUCAGCCUUUUUGUCUGAAGUGAUAAACAAUUGAUUGAGGGUUUCUGCUUCCCAGUGCCUUUCCGUUCCUCAGCGCGGAUGUCCAUCAUUAGUGAUUAUGGACUUUAAGCCUUUCCAUAAUUACUGUGGUUGCAGUUCUGCAAGUAGGAAACAAUAGUGAGAUACGAUCACUGAGCGUGGUCCUCUCAUGUUUGUGGGUUGUGCGGUCUUCUCUAAAUGUUGACUAAACACAGUGUCCCACCACAGCUGAUU